This 237-nucleotide long non-coding RNA is filed under the name Solanum tuberosum (potato). RNAcentral's name for it is "long non-coding RNA (STUB_LNC001348)". Lineage: Eukaryota; Viridiplantae; Streptophyta; Magnoliopsida; Solanales; Solanaceae. The record is from RNAcentral.
UCAAGAAGUAACAUUUCUUAUCAUAAGUGGGAACCUUAUAGGGACCCCAUAGAUUCAAGUGUACAAGUUUCAGAACUGAAUCAGAUCUAGAAGUGCUAAUAGGAAAUUGUAUUCUAGUUUGCUUUGCCAAAGGACAUAUGUGGCAAUUAUUUUCUACAAGAAUGCUAGCACAUUUCUUAGUUCAGGAAUUUGUUUAAUGACUUGUUAUGAAGGAUGUCCCAACCUCAUAUGCCAUAG